Oncorhynchus kisutch (coho salmon) is the source of this 4615-nucleotide RNA transcript. It is a transcript of the gene named RNA-binding motif, single-stranded-interacting protein 1-like, with no coding region annotated. The record is from RefSeq and is a predicted model, not a curated record. The transcript has 12 exons. Lineage: Eukaryota; Metazoa; Chordata; Actinopteri; Salmoniformes; Salmonidae.
UGUUCUGUAUUCAGAAUAGUAAUACUAACCGUACUCAAUAGCAAGGUCAUUUGAUUAUAUCUUGAAACAUACCUCUAGUGUAUGCGCAAUGGUUUGGUCUGUGGAAGGCGGGACUCAGGAGCGGUCAGCAGGACGUCGUAGAUCAAUGAACUGAACUGAGUUUUCUGCCUGGGUUGGACGACACUUUGGUGGGAUUAAACCCUACAACCUACGCAGUGUAGCCUAUGUCAGGUAGCCUACAGAUGUGACAACGCGACAAGGACAUUUGAAUCAGGAUCGAAAACGGAAAUACCGGAGUUUAUUUCUAACCCGGUCGAUAUGCGGAUUUUGUCCAAAUAAACCCACUGGAUUCUAAUAAACGGGUCUGCAUGUAGCUUCAUUUUUUGGGAGUAAACAAGCUUCUUUUUUUAUCUCGGAAUAACUGGAAUAGGCUAUCCAGGAUGAUCUUUGCAAACACUGCCAACCCGUUGAAGAGCACAUAUCGGAAGCAGUCGUACCCCAUGGCUCCAGCCAGCCCCAGCACGGUGAGCACCAGCAGCAACAGCAGCACCACAGGAUGGGACCAGCUCAGCAAAACGAACCUGUACAUCCGCGGCCUGCCUCCAGCAACCACUGACCUGGACCUAGUCAAGCUCUGCCAGCCAUACGGCAAGAUCGUGUCGGCAAAGGCCAUCCUCGAUAAAACAACUAACAAAUGUAAAGGGUAUGGGUUUGUGGACUUUGACAGCCCUGCAGCAGCCCAGAAGGCGGUCCAUGCCCUAAAGACCAGUGGGAUACAAGCCCAGAUGGCUAAGCAGCAACAGGAGCAGGACCCCACCAACCUGUACAUCUCCAACCUGCCUGUGUCUGUAGACGAGCAGGAGCUGGAGGGGCUGCUGAGGCCUUUUGGACAGGUCAUCUCCACCCGCGUCCUCAGAGACUACAGCGGGGCCAGCAGAGGCGUCGGCUUCGCCAGGAUGGAGUCCAAGGAGAUGUGUAACUCAGUCAUAGCCCACUUCAAUGGGAAGUUUAUCAAGACGGCGCCUGGAACUACGGCUCCCUCUGAGCCUCUGCUGUGUAAGUUUGCUGAUGGUCAGAGGAAGAGGCACAGCCACAGUCCCUACAUCCCCAGCGGUCGCACAUGGCCCCGAGAGGGAGAGCUCAGACUAGGCGGGAUGACUCUCACCUACGACCCCACCUCAGCUGCAAUGCAGAACGGCUAUUAUGCCUCUCCCUACACCCUAACGGCCAAUAGGAUGAUGACUCAGCAAGCCAUGUCUCCCUACAUGUCUCCUGUCACCUCCUACCAGGUACAGAAUCCUUCCUGGAUGGCCCACCAGCCUUACAUCAUGCAACACCCACAGGCUGUAAUGUCGCCCUCUGUGGACCACUCCAUGACAAUGCAGCCCACCGCCAUCAUGACACAGCAGAUGGGCCAUCUCUCAUUGGGCAGCAGUGGAGCGCAGUAUAUUUCAGCCAACGCUGCAGUCCAGGCAGCCUAUAUGCCUCAGUACGCCCACAUGCAGCAGACAGCCGUAAGUUCCGAGGUUCGUCUUUGCCAUCUCAUUGUGUUGAUCUCCUCUCAUUCAUCCAUGUCUCAUCAUGAGUAUAGCCAUUUUACAUACAAUUUUUACAUCCCAUGCCAUUACUUACUUGAUGGUGCUAAUACACGAUAAUAAGAUGUGAAGUUACACAGUUUUUCCCUCUUCAGGAAAAUGGUUCACAGCAGCAAAUGGAUUCGUCCAACAAUUCGUCUCCCUACAGUCAACAGAGCAAGUAGCGAUAAGGUGACUUCUGUGAGCAGUAAUGGAUGCUGUGGGCGCUGACUCAUGAUGUCACAGUCAUAGCCUCUCCUGAUUGGACCAGACCAGACUUCAGUAAGAACUCUUUUGCACAGCUUCAACCAAACAACUGUGUAUGAUGGAACCAACAGCAGUGAUACCAUGGUGUGUAAAACGGAAGACAGAGCUGUAAAAAUGGACAAAACCAACAAUUAUUUCCCCCCUUCAAAACAGGAAAAAAAAUGUUUUAUUUUGAUAAACGAAAAGACGUGUAUUUUUUACCACGGAUUCUCCAAGUGGAUGCAAUGGGGCAAGUAGCCUACAGCGUGAUGUUAAAAGAUGCAUGAGAUUGAUUCUUUUUUUUUUGUGGAAUCUGUUGACUUAAGGAAAAAGAGAUUUCCAAUGGGUUUUAUAGGUAGUUUAUUAGCCAAGAUAUAUGAUGAAAAAUGUUGCUUGCAAAAAGUGUUCAUUUGGUGAGGUGUUACUGGUUUUUAUUUUUGGUCUUUAUAAGAUAUUAUCAUUCAAUUAGGCUUUUAGGGUUAAUGUCUGACAUGAUUUUCUGGAUCAGAUUAAAUAUGUAGGAUUGGCCGUUUGGCAGCUGUCAAUCAAUCUAUGAAUAGAGAACUGAUAAAGAAGCAGAUGUUUUGCCAAAUAGAUGAUGGGUUGGAUAAUGUGCCUUCCUCUAACAUCAUAAGUCAUUUUACAUAGCCUGGCAGAAUCCGAACUGAUUCCCUGACGUUUCACUGUUUCACUUCAUGGUGAUCACAGUAUUCAGCCUGGUCUAACCAGGCUACAUUAAAAAGAACAGCCACUCUUAAUUAGAACUCCUGUCAGUCCAUAGUAAGGUCUCUUUAGACUUUGACAGUGUAGGUGUCUUGUUUUUGUCAUAUUUCACCCCCAACCAAGGAUGUGAACCUCCAUCAAAUGCUACACAUACUGAUCUCAUCUCCCUAAUUAAGGCAAGAGAGCCUACAAUUCAAAUAAAAGAACACAUAUAGAUUUAAAAGAAAUGCAAGCUUGAAAUUGUGAGGUAACGUCAAGGCGGUUAAAUUUUUUCUCUUGCUAUUUUUUACUUCAACAGAUACAGUAAUAUUAAUAGAAAAUGCUUAACUUUAAUGAUGAAAUUACAAUCUGUUUUACUUUACGCUAAAUUGACGGGGUUGUCUUUAAAGAACAUUGAAUGGUCAUCUUGAAUGGUCACCAUGUGUGGUCAUGUGUGACUGGUUUUUAUCUACCUCAGAGUUCUGUCUGGGCUGGUACGGCUGGGUUUGCAGGUCCAGCCCGCCUCACCAGAGAAGAACACAAAAGCUGCGGACCAAAUCGCACCCUUUUUCUUAUGUAGUGCAUUACUUUUGACCCAUAGGCUUUUCACAUUGGGCUAUGUUCAUAACGGUGGGCCAGUAACCGUAAAGAUGCUGGAUCGAAUCCCCGAGCUGACAAGGUAAAAAUCUGUUGCUCUGCUCCUGAACAAGGCUGUUAACCCACUGUUCCACGGUAGGCCGUCAUUGUAAAUAAGAAUUUGUUCUUAACUGACUUGCCUAGUUAAAUAAAGGUUAAACAAAUAAAAACAGACACAUAAUUGUGUCUAUCCCAUUAUGGCGUCUGUGAGAGCAUUUUGAAGUAGUCAACUGGGUGGGACUUCCAAUGGGUUAAAGGGAUACUUCGGGAUUUUGGCAAUGAUGCCCUUUAUCUACUAUCAUGCUAGCAGAUACCCAUAGACUUCCAGUCAUUGCGCUAACACUAGUCAGCAUUGGCUUGCAAAACUACCUCUAACUUCAUUGAUACUGGACACAGAGACAUAAAAAUGGUAUCCACAAAUUCAUUUGACUCUGGAGAAGUAGAUAAAGGGCCUCAUUGCCAAAAUCCCGAAGUAUCCCUUUAACCCAUUGGAAGUCCCACCCAGUUGACUACCUCAAAAUGGUGAAAGUCCUCAAUGGUGCUGCCAAUGCUAAAAUAGGCUUUUGGGCACUCGAGUCCUCUAUGUAUCUCUAUGGGUCAAAAGCAUUGCACUAUAAAGAAAAUAAGGUCAGAUUUGGGACGCAUCCAAAGCCAAGCUCAGGAGCUGGCCAAUAGCAAUUUUUACUAUUCUUCCUCCUACUACUCUGUCCUCAAGUAAAGAAACAUUCUGUUUUGUUUAGUGUAGUAUCAUGCUGAAUCUUAUUUUUUGUUUGUUUUUCCGAUAUAAACAUUGCUACAGGUGGAAUGCGGUUUUUAGCUCCGCCUUAGUUUUGGAGUCUCCAAAGUUAAAAGAAAAAACAAAGUGCUGCUUGUCGAUCAGAGGUUCCAAUAGGCUGGGGAAUGAGGCGUUUUUUUUUUAAAUAAAAAAGAGGAACGCAAACCCACCACGUGGUAGUGUAGGCUUCUAGACUCGAUCUAUUCUUCCCUUGAAACACACACACACACACCUUCUCAGUAUGGGACUUUGUGUUGGCAGUUAAUGUGGUGAGGGGGGGAUGUAGAAGUCUGAAAGAUGGAAGUUUAAAUUGCAACCAUACUAUUUGUAGUCUUGCAUAGCUAGCGACGUCUGAACCAAGUGCAAUUCUGUGUCUGGAUCAAUAGGCUAGUUGUACAGCAAAUUCCACCAACACUUGUGUGAUAUAGACUGGCUGAUGACAAUAAAUAAAAAUGAAAUAGUAGUAAUUUAUGCAGAAAGAUAGAUUUUUUUUUGUUUUUGUUUUACAUGUCUGGGUGAUGAUGCUGCUGGGUAUCAUCAGUUAGAAAAAUAAAAUCAUUUUGUAUUUUUGUUUCCUUAUGUAUGUUACAGCCAUCGUUUCACUAGAUUGGUAGAACAAUCUUAUCCUUGUGCUUUCCUUUAUAAAAAUAUUUGAAUAAAAACCCACCAUGAAUCAGCCCUA